RNAcentral lists this ribosomal RNA (465 nucleotides) under uncultured bacterium. RNAcentral describes it as "partial 16S ribosomal RNA". It matches the Rfam family "Bacterial small subunit ribosomal RNA", at positions 28 to 507 of the family's 1533-position model. The record is from RNAcentral.
GACGAACGCUGGCGGCGUGCUUAACACAUGCAAGUCGAACGGAAAGGUCUUGUUUGCAGGGUACUCGAGGGGCGAACGGGUGAGUAACACUUGGGUGAUUUGCCCUCCACUUGGGGAUACGCCUGGGAAACUGGGACUAGUACCGGAUAGGAGCGAUGUUUAGUGUGAUGGUUGGAAAGUUUUUUCGGUUUAGGAUGAGCUUGCGGCCCAUCUGCUUGUUGGUGGGGUAAUGGGCUACCAAGGCGGCGACGGGUAGGCGGCCUGAGAGGGUGGACGGACAGCUUGGGACUGAGAGACAGCCCAGACUCCUACGGGAGGCAGCAAGGAGGGAUAAUGCACGAUGGGCGGGAGCCUGAUGGAGCGAGGCCUCGUGGGGGAUGACUGCCUUCUGGUUGUAAGCACCGUUCGCUAGGGACGAAACUUUUUAAGGCGGUACCUAGAUAAGAAGCCCCGGCUAACUUCGUG